RNAcentral lists this long non-coding RNA (1672 nucleotides) under Olea europaea subsp. europaea. The record is from RNAcentral. Lineage: Eukaryota; Viridiplantae; Streptophyta; Magnoliopsida; Lamiales; Oleaceae.
GUUUUUGGGUGAAAUUGAUUGAUGUUUGAUUGAGGUUGAUUUCUGUCAUUUAAUUCUUCACAGCAUUGAGAUGUUCAAGCCUGCUUUCAAAGGUCAUGAGAGUUCAUUGGAGUUCUCCCCAAGAGAUAGAAUCCCUGAUGUUGAUUUGAACAACAACGGGAGUGUAUUCUUCAUCCGAGCUAGCCAUCACUUGAGUUACAAGAUCUGAGUGAGGAAUGGGUUUUCCAGCGAUCUCAAGAUUGUCUGCCAGAAGCUUUACUUUGUUAAGGUAUUGAUCGAUGCUCAUGGUUCCUUUUCUCGAUUUAUGAUGUUCCCCAGUGAGAAAUGUUAUCUUGGAUUUGUUUUGGAUGCCACUCUCUUUCACUGCAGUCCACAGUUUGUUAGAGUUACUGCACUGCAGCCCAUGACCCUCAUGGCUAUAUCAGGGGUCAUUGAUGAGUAGAGCCACCCCAUUAGCAGCUGAUCUGUUGACAACCACUGGUCAUAUUCAGGGUUCUUUUUCAUCUCAACUACCAUUCCUGCAUCUCCAGUGAUUUGGGUGCCAAUGAAUUCUGGACACACCUUUGUCCCCAGAAUGUAUCCUUCCAAAUUGUGUCCUUUUAUAAUGGGGAGGAUCAUGUUUUGCCAAAGCAGAAAGGUGUUCUUGUCUAGCUUGACAGACAACAUUUGGGUUAGGUAGACACCAAAUGGUGGGGAGUGGUUGCUUCCCUGCACUGGAGGCACCACUGUGUUUGAUUCAGAUGUUGGAACUGGAGGAGAGUUGGAAUUGGCGUUGGCCAUUGCAGCUCUGAUACCAAGUUAAAAAAUGAUCUAUAUUUCUUGGUGUUUAUCUUCACAUUUAUAGACGCCCCAGCUAAGGGAAUUUAUAUACAUUACAAUGAAGAAAAACUUGGAGAAUAAGUUACAAGAAAAUUCUAGAAUAUACAGCUGGAGCAAUAUCCUUGAAUCAUGAUUGUGAAUGGAAUCCACUAAUCACAGAAUUCCUGAAAGCAUCAGAAAUUGCUGAUAAGCUGAUUAACUGAUGGAUUCUUGAGCUGAAGGUUGACUUAUCUUGACACACGGGGGUUCGUUAAUAGAUGCUCCAUUCUCUCUGGCCACAACAAAGGUAGCUCUGUGUUGCAACGGGCUCUAAUCGGAAUCAAUCGUAUAGGAAUUUACAAUAAUGAGAACAUUGGGAUCAAAAUGAAAGGUGGAGAGUAGUGGGAAUUUACUCACAUCAGAAUGUGCAUCCGAGUAAAACAUGCCCUCAAUCAAUUUCAGAAAUCCUGGCAAAACAGGCAUGAAAUCAUUCUAAAAAACGAUCGCUUUCCAUUUUCAUUGACAGAAUACGCAUUGAAUUUUAACGGUACUUCAGCAGAGCAGUAAAUAUAAGCAACUUCAAAUGGAAGAACUCGUCACAAUCUCAUUUACCCAUCUUCCAUCACUAUAAACAAAUCAAGAACCUAAAUAAAUGGAAAAUGAAAGAGAAGCUCACCCCAGGUAGUUCGAAACACGUUAAAAUAGUAUCACAAAAUGGGUUGGGAAUUACCUUCAUUUGGUCCCUCCAUGUCCACUUCAACUGACGGUCGAAGAAGAUGCACAACCUUGUUAAACUUCUUCAGACAGCCGUGACUUCACGUUCGGAUUUAGGGGACGUCGAUUUGGAGGGUUCUUCUCCAAGGACUUUUCUUCC